Molecule: ribosomal RNA, 497 nt
Filed under: uncultured bacterium
Lineage: Bacteria
Description: partial 16S ribosomal RNA
Rfam family: Bacterial small subunit ribosomal RNA
Source: RNAcentral
GAUGAACGCUGGCGGCGUGCCUAAUACAUGCAAGUCGAGCGAACAGAUGAGGAGCUUGCUCCUCUGACGUUAGCGGCGGACUGGUGAGUAACACGUGGAUAACCUACCUAUAAGACUGGGAUAACUUCGGGAAACCGGAGCUAAUACCGGAUAAUAUAUUGAACCGCAUGGUUCAAUAGUGAAAGACGGUUUUGCUGUCACUUAUAGAUGGAUCCGCGCCGCAUUAGCUAGUUGGUAAGGUAACGGCUUACCAAGGCAACGAUGCGUAGCCGACCUGAGAGGGUGAUCGGCCACACUGGAACUGAGACACGGUCUAGACUCCUACGGGAGGCAGCAGUAGGGAAUCUUCCGCAAUGGGCGAAAGCCUGACGGAGCAACGCCGCGUGAGUGAUGAAGGUCUUCGGAUCGUAAAACUCUGUUAUUAGGGAAGAACAAAUGUGUAAGUAACUAUGCACGUCUUGACGGUACCUAAUCAGAAAGCCACGGCUAACUACGUG